RNAcentral lists this long non-coding RNA (288 nucleotides) under Equus caballus (horse). RNAcentral's name for it is "lncRNA (ENSECAG00000052539.1)". Lineage: Eukaryota; Metazoa; Chordata; Mammalia; Perissodactyla; Equidae. The record is from RNAcentral.
GGAAGAGGUGGCCCAAAGUGAGCUUUCAGAAACGGCCGGAAAAUCCUUGUUAAAAUGAUUCCAGCUGGUCUCAGCAGAGAACUGACCCAGAAGUUGUGACAUAUGAAGAUGCAAGAUGCAAGAGCCACCUUGUAACCAGGAGGAAAAGGCCAAAAGAAUCACAGGCCACAGCCUUGAGGCACUAACUCAAGGCCAGUGAUCACCUCUUCCAAACUUCUUCUUAUAUUAGAAAAAUAAUCAUCUAGUUGUUUAAGUCUCUUGGUUGAGUUUUUCAUUAUUGGCAGCAAA